Long non-coding RNA from Xenia sp. Carnegie-2017, 262 nucleotides. RefSeq lists it as uncharacterized. NCBI's taxonomy places the organism in Eukaryota, Metazoa, Cnidaria, Anthozoa, Malacalcyonacea, Xeniidae. The record is from RefSeq and is a predicted model, not a curated record. The transcript has 3 exons.
CCUGUUAACGAUUUGAUGGAGAAAUGCAACGUGAAUCCUGCAGAUAUUGAUAAGGUGAUUUUGUGCGGUGGGUCAACUCGCAUGCCAAGAAUCCAAACGCUACUACAAAAAUAUAUUCAAAGGAAAAGAAAUGUUAAAAGAAUAAGUCCUGAAGGUGUUGUUGCAUAUGGUGCAGCCAUACAGGCAUCGUUGCUUCAAGGAAACAAAAUGAAAACAUUCAUAGUCAUCGUAUUACUUGUACUUCUCGAGCAAUUGCAAUAAA